This 391-nucleotide unclassified non-coding RNA is filed under the name soil metagenome. RNAcentral's name for it is "partial contains 5.8S ribosomal RNA, internal transcribed spacer 2, and large subunit ribosomal RNA". The stretch from base 1 to 122 matches the Rfam family "5.8S ribosomal RNA", at positions 35 to 154 of the family's 154-position model. The record is from RNAcentral.
GAUGAAGAACGUAGCGAAAUGCGAUACUUGGUGUGAAUUGCAGAAUCCCGUGAACCAUCGAGUCUUUGAACGCAAGUUGCGCCCGAAGCCAUUAGGCCGAGGGCACGCCUGCCUGGGCGUCACACGUUGUUGCCCCCCCAUCUACUCCUUCGGGAUUGCGGGGGGCGGAUGAUGGCCUCCCGUGCGCCUUGUCGCGCGGUUGGCAUAAAUGCCAAGUCCUCGGCGACGCACGCCACGACAAUCGGUGGUUGCGAAACCUCGGUUGCCCGUCGUGUGCGGUCGUCGCGCAUCGAGGGCUCGAAAAAAUUGUCGGGCUCCGGCUCGGCUUUCAACGCGACCCCAGGUCAGGCGGGGUUACCCGCUGAAUUUAAGCAUAUCAAUAAGCGGAGGA